RNAcentral lists this ribosomal RNA (489 nucleotides) under uncultured bacterium. RNAcentral describes it as "partial 16S ribosomal RNA". It matches the Rfam family "Bacterial small subunit ribosomal RNA", at positions 29 to 504 of the family's 1533-position model. The record is from RNAcentral.
AGUGAACGCUGGCGGUAGGCCUAACACAUGCAAGUCGAACGGCAGCACAGUAAGAGCUUGCUCUUACGGGUGGCGAGUGGCGGACGGGUGAGGAAUACAUCGGAAUCUACUUUUUCGUGGGGGAUAACGUAGGGAAACUUACGCUAAUACCGCAUACGACCUACGGGUGAAAGCAGGGGAUCUUCGGACCUUGCGCGAUUGAAUGAGCCGAUGUCGGAUUAGCUAGUUGGCGGGGUAAAGGCCCACCAAGGCGACGAUCCGUAGCUGGUCUGAGAGGAUGAUCAGCCACACUGGAACUGAGACACGGUCCAGACUCCUACGGGAGGCAGCAGUGGGGAAUAUUGGACAAUGGGCGCAAGCCUGAUCCAGCCAUACCGCGUGGGUGAAGAAGGCCUUCGGGUUGUAAAGCCCUUUUGUUGGGAAAGAAAAGCAGCAGGUUAAUACCCCGCUGUUCUGACGGUACCCAAAGAAUGAGCACCGGCUAACUUC